Molecule: ribosomal RNA, 301 nt
Filed under: uncultured bacterium
Lineage: Bacteria
Description: partial 16S ribosomal RNA
Rfam family: Bacterial small subunit ribosomal RNA
Source: RNAcentral
CAGUCGCCGCGGUAAUACGAAGGGUGCAAGCGUUAAUCGGAAUUACUGGGCGUAAAGCGUGCGUAGGCGGUGAGUUAAGUCUGCUGUGAAAUCCCCGGGCUCAACCUGGGAAUGGCAGUGGAUACUGGCUCGCUAGAGUGUGUCAGAGGAUGGUGGAAUUCCCGGUGUAGCGGUGAAAUGCGUUGAGAUCGGAAAGAACACCAACGGCGAAAGCACUCUGCUGGGCCGACACUGACACUGAGAGACGAAAGCUAGGGGAGCAAAUGGGAUUAGAUACCCCCGUAGUCCCUGUCUCUUAUAU